GCGGAUAUAGUUUAACCUAAAACAUCAGACCGUGAACCUGAAAAUAGAAGCCAAACCC
Molecule: transfer RNA, 58 nt
Filed under: Varanus panoptes
Lineage: Eukaryota; Metazoa; Chordata; Lepidosauria; Squamata; Varanidae
Description: partial tRNA-His
Source: RNAcentral